This 405-nucleotide ribosomal RNA is filed under the name uncultured bacterium. RNAcentral's name for it is "partial 16S ribosomal RNA". It matches the Rfam family "Bacterial small subunit ribosomal RNA", at positions 28 to 526 of the family's 1533-position model. The record is from RNAcentral.
GAUGAACGCUGGCGGCGUGCCUAAUACAUGCAAGUCGAGCGAAGCGGGGACGGGUGACUAACACGUGGAUAACCUCCUAUAGGAAUGGGAUAACUUCUGUAAACCGGCGCUAAACACGAUACUUCUAAAUGGGUCCGCGCUGCAUUAGCUAGUUGGUAAGGUAACGGCUUACCAAGGCAACGAUGCAUAGCCGACCUGAGAGGGUGAUCGGCCACACUGGAACUGAGACACGGUCCAGACUCCUACGGGAGGCAGCAGUAGGGAAUCUUCCGCAAUGGACGAAAGCCUGAUGGAGCAACGCCGCGUGAGUGAUGAAGGUCUUCGGAUCGUAAAGCUCUGUUAUUAGGGAAGCGGUACCUAACCAGAAAGCCACGGCUAACUACGUGCCAGCAGCCGCGGUAAUAC